AAUAUUGGACAAUGGGCGAAAGCCUGAUCUAGCCAUGCCGCGUGUGUGAAGAAUGUCGUCGGUUUGGAAAGCACUUUACGUUGGGAGGAAGGGCAGUAAGUUAAUACGUUGCUGCUUUGACGUUACCGCCAGUAUUAGUAUUGGCUAACUUCGUAGCAUCAGCCGCGGUAAUACGAAGGUUGCAAUCGUUAAUCGGAAUUACUGGGCAUAAAGCUCGCGUAGGUGGUUUGUUAAGUUGGAAGUGAAAGCCCCGGGCUCAACCUGGGAACUGCUUUCAAAACUGGCAAGCUAGAGUAUGGCAGAGGGUGGUGGAAUUUCCUGUGUAGCGGUGAAAUGCGUAGAUAUAGGAAGGAACACCAGUGGCGAAGGCGACCACCUGGGCUAAUACUGACACUGAGGUGCGAAAGCGUGGGGAGCAAACAGG
RNAcentral lists this ribosomal RNA (424 nucleotides) under uncultured bacterium. RNAcentral describes it as "partial 16S ribosomal RNA". It matches the Rfam family "Bacterial small subunit ribosomal RNA", at positions 360 to 776 of the family's 1533-position model. The record is from RNAcentral.